This is an RNA transcript of Diospyros lotus (date-plum), 2435 nucleotides long. RefSeq lists it as uncharacterized. The record is from RefSeq and is a predicted model, not a curated record. The transcript is spliced from 8 exons. NCBI's taxonomy places the organism in Eukaryota, Viridiplantae, Streptophyta, Magnoliopsida, Ericales, Ebenaceae.
ACUUGAAAAUAACAUAAGGCCCUAAAGGGUCGGGCUUAAUAGGCCUAUUUAGCCAAGCCCAUAAAAGCCUCAUGGGCUCAGCUCAUAAGGUCCCAACGGGCCUGGCCUAGUGGGCCACGGGCUGAACCGGGCUGUGGGCCCAAAUUCUUUGGCUCCACCCCCUAUGGGGCUUAGGCCUGGGCUGUUUGUUUGAACAAUGAUAGGUCGAGCCACAUAGCUUGGCCCAUCCUGAGUUGGGCCAGGUGGUCGCGAGCCAUCCGAUCCUUUUGACAUCUCUAUUUCAAAGUGAUCAAUCAUCCUACCCCGUCCCUCACCCUCUCCUUUCCUAAUUUAUACAUGCUCAAAUCACACUAACAUCAUCUUGCUAUUUUAGUUUUUUUUUAUUAUUUAUAUUUUAAACAUUAAAAAAUAGCAAAACUUAAAUAUUAAUCGCAUUCAUUUUCAUCACAAUCAUAAUCGCUGUUUUUGGUUUGGUUCGUUAAGAGAGAUUAUUACAAUCUUUUAUCACAUUGCAAAGCCAACUCACUCAGCGUCUCAUACCCGAGAUCGAGAUUUUAAACCGCAUUUUAAGUCUGGUGUGAUGCGAUGAGGAACAUUACAUAGAAUGCGGAUGCGAAGCAGAUGAUCACAAAUUGUUUUCGAGGAUAGACAUCAAUUUCUUCGUCAACCGAGUCCACUUUCUUGGACAGAACCAUACAGCCAGCAAUUGCUUGCUUCGUGGAGCUUCGAUGAUGACGACGAGUGAUAAUUCAAUGGGUAAUGCUUCGUCAAUGCUAACUCAGUAUGACAUUGAAGAAGUCCAAGAUCACUGUGACCAUUUAUUUUCCCAGCAAGAAAUCGUGUCUUUGUAUCAAAGAUUUUGCCAACUUGAUCGGAAUGCCAAAGGUUUUAUCUCCGCCGAUGAGUUUCUAUCUGUACCCGAGUUUGCAAUGAACCCUCUUUCUCAGAGGCUGCUUAAGAUGGUGGAUGGUUUAAAUUUCAAGGACUUCGUAGCAUUCUUGUCGGCUUUUAGCGCAAAAGCUAGUAUGCCUCAGAAAGUCAAACUCAUCUUCAAAGUAUAUGACUCAGACGGUAAUGGGAAAGUAACUUUCAAUGACAUAUUAGAAGUUCUGCGGGAUUUGACAGGCUCAUUCAUAUCAGAUGGGCAAAGAGAGGGUCUUCGGCGGUCUGCCGAUCUGAUGGCAGUGAACCUAGGGUGGUGGGGUUGUUAGCAAGUGGUGGUCGGACAGUGGUAUUCUGGCCUGGGCAGUUACGGUGACGGCUAGGGUUUGAAGGUUGCUGGAAAAAGAUACACAACGACGGCUAGGGUUUUCUCACCGGUGGCUUUGAUACCAUGUGAGAAAAUAAUUAUAAAAGAAAAACUUAAGAGAUUAGUCUCUCUUAACUUGUUAUUUAUAAUAGGCAUAAUGAGCCUUAAACACCUACGGACUUAACUUAUGGGCUUAAUCUACUUAUAAAUAAAAUACACACAUUCUAUAAUUACAAUAUAUACAAUUAUACUAAUAAUUCUAACAAACAUCUUAACUAAAAUCACCAUGGAAUUAAUAUAUUUUUAUUAUCUGUACUCUUAAAAGAUCAAUCAAUAUUAGCCAACAGAGAAAUUAGAAUGUUAACAGAUGACAUCUUGUGACUGGAGAAAAGAUAUCCUCAUUCUCAACACCAUUGGUUUGUUAUUACUCCUAACUUGGUGGCUCAUGACCUUUCCACAGAAGCAUCAGUUUUUGACUUGGCAAUAUAUAAAAAAUAAAAAUAAAGAAUGGAAAAAAGGGAAAGAGAAACAGAAAAUCCCAAAUUGAAGGAUAAUCUAUUUAACCUUCUCUACCACCAUAUUAAAAAAAGGUAAAGAGAGACAGAAAAAUCACAAAUUGCACGAAUCAUAAAGGGGGAAGAGGGGGGAAAGACAUCAUGCAGAAAGACUGAAAGAGUUUGAUAUUCAAUUACCUUUUUCACUUACCUUCGCUUGUAUACACAGGGAUAGUCAACAAAAUAAUUAUCACUACAGCCUUAUUGCUAAUAAACUAGCUGUUUUAUUGCAGAAAGCUGCAGUGGUGAUUAUGACCAAUGCUCUUAACAUGCUAUUAGAUGCUAGGAAUAUUAGUCCUGACAAGGAUUUCUUUUGAUCUAGGAUCAUCUACGUGCAGGAUUUUAGAAGUUCUCAACAGUCCAUGAUUUUAUUUUUGGAUACGUACAGAUCUCAAUGGUGCCUUUGUUUAAGGCUACCUACGAUUCUUCUCCCCCCCCUACUUUAUGUGAUGGCCUCGGCAAUUAUCCUUAACCAUUUUUUUCCCUACUUCAUGAAGUAUUGAUCCAAGUUUUGCGGGAAGCUGGUUAUACAAGGGACUCAACUCUACUGUUGAAUGACUUCAUUAAGGUUCUAGGCAAACCUGGGAUGAAAAUGGAGGUGGAAGUUCCAGUCGACUAAGCCGAGGCUGCAG